This is a long non-coding RNA of Patella vulgata (common limpet), 554 nucleotides long. RefSeq lists it as uncharacterized. The record is from RefSeq and is a predicted model, not a curated record. The transcript is spliced from 4 exons. NCBI's taxonomy places the organism in Eukaryota, Metazoa, Mollusca, Gastropoda, Patellidae.
UUCAACCUCUGUGAGUCUGUGUAAUAUUUAAUAUUAGGCCCCAUUUUUGCCUGAUUCAGUCACAGUUAAUAAAUAAUGGAACUAGAAUCAGCCUGUGGAAGUUUCUCUAUAGUUUUAUUAUUUUUUCCAGUCAAUGAUGAUAUGUGACUCUUUCCACCUUCCAGCAAUAAUUAUUGAGAAUUUACCAAGGACUCCAUUGGCAUUGAAUCGAAGAAAAACAGUUUCAAUAUUGGAUGUAUAUGCAAAUCACCCAGAAAAAGAUCAUGUAAUAACAAAAGAAAUUAUAAAAGAAAAAAAUGGAAGAAGAAAUGGCUGGAAAAAAUGAAAAUAGAGCAGCUUUUUCUUGUUACCCACCUCGGAAGAUCAAGUUGGAAAGGGCUAUUGAUAUUGUGGAGACGUUUUCUCACAGAUCUUGCUUAUCAGACAAAGACUAUGCUGGAACACCAUUGAAAGAGUAUUUGCUGUAUGAUAACAACAAGAAAACCCAAGCAUCAAUUUAUUUUAUACUUCUGGGAAAGAAUGCAUUUGACCCAAUUUUUAAAUAUUUAUUUGUU